UAUUAAAAUAUAAUAAUAAUAUAUGGUAUUUUAUAAUGCUAAAUUACAUAAAGCCCCCUGUUAAUACCCGCUUUUUCACUUUACUUACUGUCAUUCAAAAACCUACACAUUACCUCCUGAAAAAUAAAAAAUAUUCACAGAAAGAUACGAUAUGACAAAAUGACCAAAUUGUUCUCAUCUUUUUCAUCUCCUCCUCCAUAAUCUUGCUCGUGCCGACGGCGGAGGAGGGUGAAAGCGUGUGUCUUAGUAUUGACAGAGGGGUGGCCGAGGAUGAGGCUGCCGCCAAGGGCAUGUGUGUGGGCAUGGAUGAGGAUUUCAGAGAUAUUUUGGGUGUAAAAAAUAAGAUAUAAACGGAACCCUAAUGAAACACUAACGGCGGGGGUUGGAAUGAAUAUUUUUUAUUUUUUAAAAAGGCAAAGUGUAUAUUUUUGAGUGACAUAGGGGAAAGUAAAAAAAGUGGGUAUUACUAAGGAGAUUUUCUGUGAUUUAGCCAUUUUAUAAUUUUUAUUUUUAUUUUUUUCUUACAUGUUCUAUUAAUUUUUGUAUUAAAUACAUCACGCAUUGCAUAUUUAUAUCAAAGAUGUCUCACAAAGA
RNAcentral lists this long non-coding RNA (594 nucleotides) under Ananas comosus (pineapple). Its description in RNAcentral is "long non-coding RNA (ACOM_LNC022590)". Lineage: Eukaryota; Viridiplantae; Streptophyta; Magnoliopsida; Poales; Bromeliaceae. The record is from RNAcentral.